Molecule: ribosomal RNA, 459 nt
Filed under: uncultured bacterium
Lineage: Bacteria
Description: SSU rRNA
Rfam family: Bacterial small subunit ribosomal RNA
Source: RNAcentral
AGAAUCAACGCUGGCGGCGUGCCUAACACAUGCAAGUCGAACGAGAAAGUGGAGCAAUCCAUGAGUAAAGUGGCGACCGGGUGAGUAACACGUGACUAACCUACCUUCGAGUGGUGGAUAACCUCGGGAAACCGAGGCUAAUACCGCAUAACAUCGCAAGAUCAAAGCAGCAAUGCGCUGGAAGAGGGGGUCGCGGCUGAUUAGCUAGUUGGCGGGUAAUGGCCCACCAAGGCGAAGAUCGGUAGCCGGCCUGAGAGGGCGCACGGCCACACUGGAACUGAAACACGGUCCAGACUCCUACGGGAGGCAGCAGUGGGGAAUUUUGCGCAAUGGGGGAAACCCUGACGCAGCAACGCCGCGUGGAGGAUGAAGCCCCUUGGGGCGUAAACUCCUUUCGACCAAGACGAUAAUGACGGUACUGGUGGAAGAAGCACCGGCUAACUCUGCGCCAGCAGCCGC